Molecule: non-coding RNA, 179 nt
Filed under: Paenibacillus curdlanolyticus YK9
Lineage: Bacteria; Bacillati; Bacillota; Bacilli; Caryophanales; Paenibacillaceae
Description: Bacterial small subunit ribosomal RNA
Rfam family: Bacterial small subunit ribosomal RNA
Source: Rfam by way of RNAcentral
UGCCGCGGUGAAUACGUUCCCGGGUCUUGUACACACCGCCCGUCACACCACGAGAGUUUACAACACCCGAAGCCGGUGGGGUAACCGCAAGGAGCCAGCCGUCGAAGGUGGGGUAGAUGAUUGGGGUGAAGUCGUAACAAGGUAGCCGUAUCGGAAGGUGCGGCUGGAUCACCUCCUUU